CUUGUGAUAUCAGUUUAAUGAGAGAGCAUCCAGAGUUGAAGGCAUAUCUCUGCAUUUGUAUUAAAUGAAGGAUUACAAUGAGCAGCACUGUGAUCUCAGUCCCAGAACAGUAAAAACCAGAUGGUCACAGGAGAGCCUCCAGGCGCAGGCAUGUGUCCCCGAGUUGUCUGCAGUAAGGGGGAGUGACCCGCUCUUAUCAGCGGCCUCUGUGUGAGAGAGCGUGCAGCUCUCAGUUAGCCUUUGCUAACGCUCCUUGCAACAUGGACAUUUUGUAAAAGCUCUCACCACCGGAGCACUUUUAUGAAAGUUAUGACAGAUCACACUGAGAAGUAGCUGUUCUCUUCAUACCGUACCUGUGGUUUUCUCUGCACAUCUCACUCUUCCUGGAGCCUCUCACGCCGUCAUGAUGCUAUUUCUGCAGUGCUAUACGCUUCAUGAGCAUCACAUCCACUUACCGUUUCACACCGUUGUUUGGGGUUUCGUCACCUGGAAA
Puntigrus tetrazona (Sumatra barb) is the source of this 493-nucleotide long non-coding RNA. RefSeq lists it as uncharacterized. NCBI's taxonomy places the organism in Eukaryota, Metazoa, Chordata, Actinopteri, Cypriniformes, Cyprinidae. The transcript is spliced from 3 exons. The record is from RefSeq and is a predicted model, not a curated record.